This 2146-nucleotide ribosomal RNA is filed under the name Campylobacter peloridis. RNAcentral describes it as "partial 23S ribosomal RNA". It matches the Rfam family "Bacterial large subunit ribosomal RNA", at positions 1 to 2150 of the family's 2925-position model. The record is from RNAcentral. Lineage: Bacteria; Pseudomonadati; Campylobacterota; Epsilonproteobacteria; Campylobacterales; Campylobacteraceae.
AGGUAAGCUACUAAGAGCGAAUGGUGGAUGCCUUGACUGGUAAAGGCGAUGAAGGACGUACUAGACUGCGAUAAGCUACGGGGAGCUGUCAAGAAGCUUUGAUCCGUAGAUUUCCGAAUGGGGCAACCCAGUAUAUAGAGAUAUAUACUACCAUAAUGGAGCGAACGUAGGGAAUUGAAACAUCUUAGUACCUACAGGAAGAGAAAUCAAUAGAGAUUGCGUCAGUAGCGGCGAGCGAAAGCGUAAGAGGGCAAACCCAGUGCUUGCACUGGGGGUUGUAGGACUGCAAUGUGCAAUAAGUAAGGUUAGUAGAACACUCUGGAAAGUGUAGCCAUAGAGGGUGAUAGUCCCGUAUACGAAAACCAAACUUUAGCUAGCAGUAUCCUGAGUAGGGCGAAACACGUGGAAUUUUGUCUGAAGCUGGGUCGACCACGAUCCAACCCUAAAUACUAAUACCAGAUCGAUAGUGCACAAGUACCGUGAGGGAAAGGUGAAAAGAACUGAGGUGAUCAGAGUGAAAUAGAACCUGAAACCAUUUGCUUACAAUCAUUCAGAGCCCUAUGUAGCAAUACAGGGUGAUGGACUGCCUUUUGCAUAAUGAGCCUGCGAGUUGUGGUGUCUGGCAAGGUUAAGCACACGCGAAGCCGUAGCGAAAGCGAGUCUGAAUAGGGCGCUUAAGUCAGAUGCUGCAGACCCGAAACGAAGUGAUCUAUCCAUGAGCAAGUUGAAGCUAGUGUAAGAACUAGUGGAGGACUGAACCCGCUAGCGUUGAAAAGCUAUGGGAUGACUUGUGGAUAGGGGUGAAAGGCCAAUCAAACUUCGUGAUAGCUGGUUCUCUCCGAAAUAUAUUUAGGUAUAGCGUUGUGUCGUAAUAUAAGGGGGUAGAGCACUGAAUGGGCUAGGGCAUACACCAAUGUACCAAACCCUAUCAAACUCCGAAUACCUUAUAUGUAAUCACAGCAGUCAGGCGGCGAGUGAUAAAAUCCGUCGUCAAGAGGGAAACAACCCAGACUAUCAGCUAAGGUCCCCAAGUCUUACUUAAGUGGAAAACGAUGUGAAGUUACUUAAACAACCAGGAGGUUGGCUUAGAAGCAGCCAUCCUUUAAAGAAAGCGUAAUAGCUCACUGGUCUAGUGAUUUUGCGCGGAAAAUAUAACGGGGCUAAAGUAAGCACCGAAGCUAUAGACUUAGUUUUACUAAGUGGUAGGAGAGCGUUCUAUUUGCGUCGAAGGUAUACCGGUAAGGAGUGCUGGAGCGAAUAGAAGUGAGCAUGCAGGCAUGAGUAGCGAUAAUUAAUGUGAGAAUCAUUAACGCCGUAAACCCAAGGUUUCCUACGCGAUGCUCGUCAUCGUAGGGUUAGUCGGGUCCUAAGCCGAGUCCGAAAGGGGUAGGUGAUGGCAAAUUGGUUAAUAUUCCAAUACCAACAUUAGUGUGCGAUGGAAGGACGCUUAGGGCUAAGCAAGCUAGCGGAUGGAAGUGCUAGUCUAAGGAUGUAGGAGCUUAUACAGGCAAAUCCGUAUAAGAAUACUCCGAGAUCUUAAAGGCUCUUUGAAGUCUUCGGAUGGAUAGGAGAAUUGCUGAUGCCGUCGAGCCAAGAAAAGUUUCUAAGUUUAGCUAAUGUUGCCCGUACCGUAAACCGACACAGGUGGGUGGGAUGAGUAUUCUAAGGCGCGUGGAAGAACUCUCUUUAAGGAACUCUGCAAAAUAGCACCGUAUCUUCGGUAUAAGGUGUGGUUCGCUUUGUAUUAGAAUUUACUUCGAAAGCAAAGAAACUUACAACAAAGAGUCCCUCCCGACUGUUUACCAAAAACACAGCACUCUGCUAACUCGUAAGAGGAUGUAUAGGGUGUGACGCCUGCCCGGUGCUCGAAGGUUAAUUGAUGGGGUUAGCAUUAGCGAAGCUCUUGAUCGAAGCCCGAGUAAACGGCGGCCGUAACUAUAACGGUCCUAAGGUAGCGAAAUUCCUUGUCGGUUAAAUACCGACCUGCAUGAAUGGCGUAACGAGAUGGGAGCUGUCUCAAAGAGGGAUCCAGUGAAAUUGUAGUGGAGGUGAAAAUUCCUCCUACCCGCGGCAAGACGGAAAGACCCCGUGGACCUUUACUACAGCUUGACACUGCUAUUUGGAUAAGAAUGUGCAGGAUAGGUGG